This 559-nucleotide small RNA is filed under the name Pan troglodytes (chimpanzee). RNAcentral's name for it is "processed transcript". The record is from RNAcentral. Lineage: Eukaryota; Metazoa; Chordata; Mammalia; Primates; Hominidae.
GUUGUCUCCAGUCCUGAAACCCUCGCCCAGGGCCGCUCCGCCGCCGGGCUCCGGCGCUCAGCCCAUAUCACCCGGGGAAAGGCCGGCGCCUCCGUCCGACCCUCUUUCCUGUCGCUGGGGGCGGUUUGUGGGCCUGGCCUUGGGAUUAGGAAAAUAGGGAUGGUGCUAUAACGGCCGAAUGCGGGCCUCAGGGAAUCCCGAAAGGGGGAAUGUCUGGGUCGGCGGAUCGGGGGGCUUGAGAGGGCCCGCUCCGUGGGACGUUCAGGCCCCGGAACCGGCCCCCGCAUGGUCGCCGCUCCGGCCCGGGCGGGCGCAGCGCUGGCAGCCCCGUUUUCCGCCAGCCGGGCUGCCGGAGAGUUAGACCUCCCAGCCUCACGGGGCUGCUGUGCGGCUGCGACGACGCCGGCGACUGCGGCGCUGCAGCGGAGACGGAAGGCUCGGGAGGCGGCGCCAUUUGCAGAGUGGGCAGGAUCUUACGACCCGAUAGGUGCAGAACCCAUCUGGACACGGAGACCAGGAAUGGGGUUCCAUGGAGGCCUGGCUGGCACUGCACCUGGGC